This 330-nucleotide ribosomal RNA is filed under the name uncultured Spirochaetota bacterium. RNAcentral describes it as "bacterial SSU rRNA". It matches the Rfam family "Bacterial small subunit ribosomal RNA", at positions 29 to 351 of the family's 1533-position model. Lineage: Bacteria; Pseudomonadati; Spirochaetota. The record is from RNAcentral.
AACGAACGCUGGCGGCGCGUUUUAAGCAUGCAAGUCGGACGGCAAGCACUGUAGCAAUAUGGUGCCUAGAGUGGCGAACGGGUGAGUAACACGUAGGUGAUCUACCUCUGGAUGGGGGAUAGCCCGUGGAAACACGGGGUAAUACCGCAUGAGGCCUUGUGGGUGAAGCCAUGAGGUGAAAGCUCCAAUUGGAGCGUCUGGGGAUGAGCCUGCGGCCCAUUAGGCAGUUGGCGGGGUAAUGGCCCACCAAACCGACGAUGGGUAGCCGGCCUGAGAGGGUGUACGGCCACACUGGAACUGAGACACGGUCCAGACUCCUACGGGAGGCUG